AUGCCAAGAUCUACAUUUACAUGCAUGAGAAAAGAACUGUACAGGAAAAAAGAUCAUUUAACAUGUAUGGGUGUGAGUUUUCAUUUUUAUUGCCUUGACUUUUUCACAGCAUGUACAAACAAUGAAAGUACACUGAAGUCCAUCAUGAAGAAGAAAGAUGGUAACAAAGAUUCAAAUGGCGCAAAAAAGAAUCUUCAGUUUGUUGGCAUUAAUGGAGGGCGUAUGAAUUAAGUGAAAAGAUGUUUUCUGCAUGCAACUUACUGAAAAAUACUAUAAAUGACCCAAAGCUUUGACCAGCAAAGAUAGGUGAGUCUGACCUUCAAACACCUCCCCGU
This 335-nucleotide long non-coding RNA is filed under the name Pan troglodytes (chimpanzee). Its description in RNAcentral is "lncRNA (ENSPTRG00000053017.1)". The record is from RNAcentral. Lineage: Eukaryota; Metazoa; Chordata; Mammalia; Primates; Hominidae.